UACGGAGGAUGCGAGCGUUAUCCGGAUUUAUUGGGUUUAAAGGGUGCGUAGGCGGGCUGUUAAGUCAGCGGUAAAAGCCCGGGGCUCAACCCCGGCGAGCCGUUGAAACUGGCUGUCUUGAGAUGUCGAGAGGUAUGCGGAAUGCGCAGUGUAGCGGUGAAAUGCUUAGAUAUUGCGCAGAACUCCGAUUGCGAAGGCAGCAUACCGGCGGUGAUCUGACGCUGAGGCACGAAAGCGUGGGUAUCGAACAGG
Molecule: ribosomal RNA, 252 nt
Filed under: uncultured bacterium
Lineage: Bacteria
Description: partial 16S ribosomal RNA
Rfam family: Bacterial small subunit ribosomal RNA
Source: RNAcentral